UCAUAAUUUUUGUACAUGUGAAGAUGGAUAUUUAGAAAUUGAUAGUCAAUGCUUGCCAGGUGAUCUUCCAAUUGGUACGCCAUGCCAGCAUCACAAGCAAUGUAAUACUUCUGACAACGACACACACUGCUCAGCGGUAAAGAUAUGUUCCUGCAUACAUGGAAAACCGUGGAAUGGUUCAUGUUUUGAGGUUGGGAAAAUUCUCUAUGACCCAUGUGUCCUUGACGAACAAUGCACAGGGACAGAAAAUGCUAAUGUCUGUCUAAAUGGUCUAUGUGGAUGUGGAAAGGGGUUCUUAAGAAAAAAUCGUACA
Molecule: long non-coding RNA, 313 nt
Organism: Saccostrea echinata
Lineage: Eukaryota; Metazoa; Mollusca; Bivalvia; Ostreida; Ostreidae
Exons: 3
Source: RefSeq, a predicted model, not a curated record